AGAGAGGUGUCCGAGUGGUUGAAGGAGCCCGCUUGGAAAGCGUGUAUAUGCCAAAAGUGUAUCGAGGGUUCGAAUCCCUUCCUCUCUGCAA
This 91-nucleotide transfer RNA is filed under the name Flavobacteriaceae bacterium. Its description in RNAcentral is "tRNA-Ser". It matches the Rfam family "tRNA". Rfam says of the family: Transfer RNA (tRNA) molecules are approximately 80 nucleotides in length. Their secondary structure includes four short double-helical elements and three loops (D, anti-codon, and T loops). Lineage: Bacteria; Pseudomonadati; Bacteroidota; Flavobacteriia; Flavobacteriales; Flavobacteriaceae. RNAcentral also lists the same sequence under 1 other name. The record is from RNAcentral.